AGCGAACGCUGGCAGCAGGCCUAACACAUGCAAGUCGAACGAACUCUUCGGAGUUAGUGGCGGACGGGUGAGUAACACGUGGGAACGUGCCUUUUGGUUCGGAAUAACUCAGGGAAACUUGUGCUAAUACCGAAUGUGCCCUUCGGGGGAAAGAUUUAUCGCCAUUAGAGCGGCCCGCGUCUGAUUAGCUAGUUGGUGAGGUAACGGCUCACCAAGGCGACGAUCAGUAGCUGGUCUGAGAGGGUGACCAGCCACACUGGGACUGAGACACGGCCCAGACUCCUACGGGAGGCAGCAGUGGGGAAUCUUGCGCAAUGGGCGAAAGCCUGACGCAGCCAUGCCGCGUGAAUGAUGAAGGUCUUAGGAUUGUAAAAUUCUUUCACCGGGGACGAUAAUGACGGUACCCGGAGAAGAAGCCCCGGCUAACUUCGUG
Molecule: ribosomal RNA, 433 nt
Filed under: uncultured bacterium
Lineage: Bacteria
Description: partial 16S ribosomal RNA
Rfam family: Bacterial small subunit ribosomal RNA
Source: RNAcentral